Molecule: ribosomal RNA, 492 nt
Filed under: uncultured bacterium
Lineage: Bacteria
Description: partial 16S ribosomal RNA
Rfam family: Bacterial small subunit ribosomal RNA
Source: RNAcentral
AGUGAACGCUGGCGGUAGGCCUAACACAUGCAAGUCGAACGGCAGCACAGUAAGAGCUUGCUCUUACGGGUGGCGAGUGGCGGACGGGUGAGGAAUACAUCGGAAUCUACUUUUUCGUGGGGGAUAACGUGGGGAAACUUACGCUAAUACCGCAUACGACCUACGGGUGAAAGCAGGGGAUCUUCGGACCUUGCGCGAUUGAAUGAGCCGAUGUCGGAUUAGCUAGUUGGCGGGGUAAAGGCCCACCAAGGCGACGAUCCGUAGCUGGUCUGAGAGGAUGAUCAGCCACACUGGAACUGAGACACGGUCCAGACUCCUACGGGAGGCAGCAGUGGGGAAUAUUGGACAAUGGGCGCAAGCCUGAUCCAGCAAUACCGCGUGGGUGAAGAAGGCCUUCGGGUUGUAAAGCCCUUUUGUUGGGAAAGAAAAGCAGCAGGUUAAUACCCCGCUGUUCUGACGGUACCCAAAGAAUAAGCACCGGCUAACUUCGUG